This 441-nucleotide ribosomal RNA is filed under the name uncultured bacterium. RNAcentral's name for it is "partial 16S ribosomal RNA". It matches the Rfam family "Bacterial small subunit ribosomal RNA", at positions 338 to 795 of the family's 1533-position model. The record is from RNAcentral.
CCUACGGGAGGCAGCAGUGGGGAAUAUUGCACAAUGGGGGAAACCCUGAUGCAGCAACGCCGCGUGAGUGAAGAAGUAUUUCGGGAUGUAAAGCUCUAUCAGCAGGGAAGAAGAAAGACGGUACCUGACUAAGUAGCUCCGGCUAACUACGUGCCAGCAGCCGCGGUAACACGUAGGGGGCAAGCGUUAUCCGAGUUUACGGGGUGUAAAGGGAGCGUAGACGGGUGUGCAAGUCUGAAGUGAAAGCCCGUGGCUUCACCGCGGAAGUGCUUUGGAAACUGUAUAGCUUGAGUACUGGAGAGGCAGGCGGAAUGCCUAGUGUAGCGGUGGAAUGCGUAGAUAUUAGGAGGAACACCAGUUGCGAAGGCGGCCUGCUGGACAGAAACUGACGUUGAGGCUCGAAAGCGUGGGGAGCAAACAGGAUUAGAUACCCCUGUAGUC